UGCAACUCUACUUCUAGAGAUGGAAUUUUCCCUAUAAAUACUAGAUUCUUUUUUCUAGAUUUGUGAAGUUUUGUUGAUGUAGUUGUAGUCUCUCCAUAUUAUUAUUGAAGGAAACAUCAAUUCCUUUGUUUAACUCUCUCUGUCUCUUUAUUUUAAUCUUGUUCUAUUUGUUGUUACAUAUUUUAUAUUACACUAUUAAAUCUCAAUUUUUACGUUGCCUUCUGAUCCAACAAGGUGGUUUCAGAGCUGUUCCGCCUUCAACAAGUGGUAUCAAAGCUAGGCUGCAAAUUCUUCGUGAUUUGAUCGAGAUUUUUUUUCAGAAAUGGCUAUUUUGAAAUAUGAUAUUCUACUGCUGGAUCGCAAUACGAUAUUUUCGCCGUGGCAAGUAAAGAUGAUGGCUAUUUUGAUGCAGAUGAAUUUAGAUGGUGUGUUGUUGGGUUUUGAUAAGAUGCUAACUGAUUGGACAACAGAAGAAUAGGAAGGCCCUAUCGCAAAUUCAUCUUCACCUCUCCAAUAAUAUUCUGCAGGAUGUCUUAAAAGAAAAGACAGUGGCGGCUUUGUGGUUAAAACUAGAAUAGUUGUGCAUGAUGAAAAGUCUUCAGAGCAAAUUGCAUCUUAAGUAGAAGCUGUAUUCCCAUCCAUGGCAGAGGAGGAUCAUUGGAAGACCUACUUGCUGUGCUCAAGGAAAGACAUUGAGGCAUUGAAGGUCAAGUAUGAUAAGGAGGCCAGUGAUA
RNAcentral lists this long non-coding RNA (734 nucleotides) under Olea europaea subsp. europaea. Lineage: Eukaryota; Viridiplantae; Streptophyta; Magnoliopsida; Lamiales; Oleaceae. The record is from RNAcentral.